AACCGCCGUGUGCCGAACGGCACGCACGGUGGUGUGAGAGGGGCUAGGAAUUAGUCUCUACUCGAU
Streptococcus sp. is the source of this 66-nucleotide non-coding RNA. The record is from Rfam. NCBI's taxonomy places the organism in Bacteria, Bacillati, Bacillota, Bacilli, Lactobacillales, Streptococcaceae.